GCUGGGCAUGGUGGCGCACGCCUGUAAUCCCAGCAACUCGGGAGGCUGAGACUGGAGGAUCGCGAGGCAAAUACCUUCCCGAGUUAACUACAUUAGUAUCAU
Molecule: non-coding RNA, 102 nt
Filed under: Leptotrombidium deliense
Lineage: Eukaryota; Metazoa; Arthropoda; Arachnida; Trombidiformes; Trombiculidae
Source: RNAcentral